RNAcentral lists this non-coding RNA (31 nucleotides) under Rattus norvegicus (Norway rat). Lineage: Eukaryota; Metazoa; Chordata; Mammalia; Rodentia; Muridae. The record is from RNAcentral.
GACACUGGUGUCACAUUCUCAGAGGCAUGGA